GAUGAACGCUGGCGGCGUGCCUAAUACAUGCAAGUCGAGCGAACAGAUGAGGAGCUUGCUCCUCUGACGUUAGCGGCGGACGGGUGAGUAACACGUGGAUAACCUACCUAUAAGACUGGGAUAACUUCGGGAAACCGGAGCUAAUACCGGAUAAUAUAUUGAACCGCAUGGUUCAAUAGUGAGAGACGGUUUUGCUGUCACUUAUAGAUGGAUCCGCGCCGCAUUAGCUAGUUGGUAAGGUAACGGCUUACCAAGGCAACGAUGCGUAGCCGACCUGAGAGGGUGAUCGGCCACACUGGAACUGAGACACGGUCCAGACUCCUACGGGAGGCAGCAGUAGGGAAUCUUCCGCAAUGGGCGAAAGCAUGACGGAGCAACGCCGCGUGAGUGAUGAAGGUCUUCGGAUCGUAAAACUCUGUUAUUAGGGAAGAACAAAUGUGUAAGUAACUAUGCACGUCUUGACGGUACCUAAUCAGAAAGCCACGGCUAACUACGUG
Molecule: ribosomal RNA, 497 nt
Filed under: uncultured bacterium
Lineage: Bacteria
Description: partial 16S ribosomal RNA
Rfam family: Bacterial small subunit ribosomal RNA
Source: RNAcentral